Molecule: ribosomal RNA, 459 nt
Filed under: uncultured bacterium
Lineage: Bacteria
Description: partial 16S ribosomal RNA
Rfam family: Bacterial small subunit ribosomal RNA
Source: RNAcentral
CCUACGGGCGGCAGCAGUGAGGAAUAUUGGUCAAUGGCCGAGAGGCUGAACCAGCCAAGUCGCGUGAGGGAAGACGGCCCUACGGGUUGUAAACCUCUUUUGUCUGGGAACAAAGCGAACCACGUGUGGUUCAUUGAGAGUACCCUAAGAAUAAGCAUCGGCUAACUCCGUGCCAGCAGCCGCGGUACUACGGGGGAUGCGAGCGUUAUCCGGAUUUAUUGGGUUUAAAGGGUGCGCAGGCGGACGUGAAAGUCAGCGGUCAAAUUGCGGGGCUCAACCCCGUACUGCCGUUGAAACUGCAUGCCUUGAGUGCGCGAGAGGUAUGCGGAAUGCGUGGUGUAGCGGUGAAAUGCAUAGAUAUCACGCAGAACUCCGAUUGCGAAGGCAGCAUACCGGCGCGCAACUGACGCUCAUGCACGAAAGCGUGGGUAUCGAACAGGAUUAGAUACCCGAGUAGUC